UAAUCAUUUGUCUACUAAUUAUAGACCUGUAUGAAAGGCAAAAUGAGGACUCAACUGUCUCCUGUAAUGAAUCAAUUAAACUGAUCCCCCAGUACAAAAGCUGGGAUAAACCCAUAAGACCAGAAGACCCUGUGAAGCUUAAACUAAACUAUUACCCUUCCCCUAAUAACUACUUUCGGUUGGGGCGACCUUGGAAAAAAAAGAAACUUCCAAAACAUGGCUUUCCACCACCAUAAGUGGCCCACCAGCCUCUAUUGACCCAGACACCUGAUUACCGAACCAAGUUACUCCAGGGAUAACAGCGCCAUCUUCUUCAAGAGCCCAUAUCAAAAAGAAGGUUUACGACCUCGAUGUUGGAUCAGGACACCCAAAUGGUGCAACCGCCAUUAACGGUU
This 395-nucleotide ribosomal RNA is filed under the name Paraxenodermus borneensis (Borneo red snake). RNAcentral's name for it is "partial 16S ribosomal RNA". It matches the Rfam family "Bacterial large subunit ribosomal RNA", at positions 1962 to 2573 of the family's 2925-position model. Lineage: Eukaryota; Metazoa; Chordata; Lepidosauria; Squamata; Xenodermidae. The record is from RNAcentral.